CUUCGACUUGCGACGAGAGCAUCGUUCCGGUGGAGGAUCCGUUCACUUCGCCGUCGGGGAGGAAAUCGUCGCUGCCCGGAAAUUAUGAUCAGUAAAAUCUCUAUGUCGAAGAAAUCGAUGGAAGUCAAAACCCCCCAAACAACCAGAUACGCCGAAGGGGAGAUCGAGUCGCAUACUCCGACGGGAAGAGCGAUGAGUAUGAAUUCGGAGAGCCAACUACGAGGAUGACGAUGAGUCCACGAACACGGAGAAGUUCCGGACACGCCUCCGAUUCUGAACUGCCAUAGUAUAUAUACAUAUAUAUAUGUAGAUAUAAACAUAUGAAGUUGGAAAAAGAUGAUGAUUAUAGAACACUUCCAUUUUGACUAGUGUCUCAA
Molecule: non-coding RNA, 377 nt
Organism: Erythranthe guttata (spotted monkey flower)
Lineage: Eukaryota; Viridiplantae; Streptophyta; Magnoliopsida; Lamiales; Phrymaceae
Source: RefSeq, a predicted model, not a curated record